GGCGGACGAUGACACAACAGAGGCAACAAUGCAGCAACAGUAUCUUGUCUCCCUUGUUGAUUGAAGAAGCAACAAGUGACUAUGAUCAGAUUGAAGAAAUCAGAAUGUGGGAACUUCGUUUGAUUUAGAUUUGAUUUAUGAUUUUGGUGUAUCAUGUAUUUUUGUUGAUUUGUGAAUUGUGAAAUUGUAGCAAGAAUGGAACCGUGAUAUGAGAUACAUGUAGCUUUGAAUUUUAAUGAAUU
Molecule: unclassified non-coding RNA, 242 nt
Filed under: Hevea brasiliensis (rubber tree)
Lineage: Eukaryota; Viridiplantae; Streptophyta; Magnoliopsida; Malpighiales; Euphorbiaceae
Source: RNAcentral